RNAcentral lists this ribosomal RNA (433 nucleotides) under uncultured bacterium. RNAcentral describes it as "partial 16S ribosomal RNA". It matches the Rfam family "Bacterial small subunit ribosomal RNA", at positions 29 to 507 of the family's 1533-position model. The record is from RNAcentral.
AACGAACGCUGGCGGCAGGCCUAACACAUGCAAGUCGAGCGAGGACUUCGGUCCUAGCGGCGGACGGGUGAGGAACGCGUGGGAACGUGCCCUUUGCUUCGGAAUAGCCCUGGGAAACUGGGAGUAAUACCGGAUGAGCCCUUUGGGGGAAAGAUUUAUCGGCGAAGGAUCGGCCCGCGUUGGAUUAGGUAGUUGGUGGGGUAAUGGCCUACCAAGCCGACGAUCCAUAGCUGGUUUGAGAGGAUGAUCAGCCACACUGGGACUGAGACACGGCCCAGACUCCUACGGGAGGCAGCAGUGGGGGAUCUUAGACAAUGGGGGAAACCCUGAUCUAGCCAUGCCGCGUGAGCGAUGAAGGCCUUAGGGUUGUAAAGCUCUUUCAGCUGGGAAGAUAAUGACGGUACCAGCAGAAGAAGCCCCGGCUAACUCCGUG